GACGAACGCUGGCGGCGUGCUUAACACAUGCAAGUCGAACGGAAAGGCCCUGCUUUUGUGGGGUGCUCGAGUGGCGAACGGGUGAGUAACACGUGAGUAACCUGCCCUUGACUUUGGGAUAACUUCAGGAAACUGGGGCUCAUCCCGGAUAGGAGCUCCUGCUGCAUGGUGGGGGUUGGAAAGUUUCGGCGGUUGGGGAUGGACUCGCGGUUUAUCAGCUUGUUGGUGGGGUAGUGGCUUACCAAGGCUUUGACGGGUAGCCGGCCUGAGAGGGUGACCGGCCACAUCGGGACUGAGAUACGGCCCAGACUCCUACGGGAGGCAGCAGUGGGGAAUAUUACACAAUGGGCGGAAGCCUGAUGCAGCAACGCCGCGUGCGGGAUGACGGCCUUCGGGUUGUAAACCGCUUUCGCCUGUGACGAAGCGUGAGUGGCGGUAAUGGGUAAAGAAGCACCGGCUAACUACGUG
This 468-nucleotide ribosomal RNA is filed under the name uncultured bacterium. RNAcentral describes it as "partial 16S ribosomal RNA". It matches the Rfam family "Bacterial small subunit ribosomal RNA", at positions 28 to 507 of the family's 1533-position model. The record is from RNAcentral.